AUGGUGCUGUGCUUCCUGCCUCUCCUCCUUCUCCCAGGGGUUUUGGUGCCAGCUUCCAGGGCGCAACCUGUGCUGACUCAGCCGGCCUCCAUUUUAGUGUUACUGGGACAAACGGUGAAACUCUCUUGUGUCUUGAAUCCUGGUUACAACAUCCGGGAUUUUGGGGUCGCCUGGUACCAGCAGAGACCUGGCAGCCCUCCAAGGUACCUGCUGUAUUACAACUCGGAGGUGGACAAGGACAAGCCCUCCGGAAUUCCGGACCGCUUCUCUGCGUCCAAAGACCUCGCCAGCAACGCCUGCGUUCUGACCAUCGCCGGGGUCCAGGCUGAGGACUACGCUGAUUAUUACUGCUUGGUCGCAUAUCCCGUCUACUAUCACUAG
Chelonoidis abingdonii (Abingdon island giant tortoise) is the source of this 381-nucleotide non-coding RNA. The record is from the annotation of a RefSeq genome assembly. Lineage: Eukaryota; Metazoa; Chordata; Testudines; Testudinidae.